GACGAACGCUGGCGGCGUGCUUAACACAUGCAAGUCGAGCGGUAAGGCCUCUUCGGGGGUACACGAGCGGCGAACGGGUGAGUAACACGUGGGUGACCUGCCCUCAGCUCUGGGAUAAGCCUGGGAAACUGGGUCUAAUACCGGAUAUGACCUUUCCUCGCAUGGGGUUUGGUGGAAAGUUUUUUCGGCUAGGGAUGGGCCCGCGGCCUAUCAGCUUGUUGGUGGGGUGAUGGCCUACCAAGGCGACGACGGGUAGCCGGCCUGAGAGGGCGACCGGCCACACUGGGACUGAGACACGGCCCAGACUCCUACGGGAGGCAGCAGUGGGGAAUAUUGCGCAAUGGGCGGAAGCCUGACGCAGCGACGCCGCGUGGGGGAUGACGGCCUUCGGGUUGUAAACCUCUUUCGACCCCGACGAAUUUGGACGGUAGGGGUAGAAGAAGCACCGGCCAACUACGUG
This 460-nucleotide ribosomal RNA is filed under the name uncultured bacterium. RNAcentral's name for it is "partial 16S ribosomal RNA". It matches the Rfam family "Bacterial small subunit ribosomal RNA", at positions 28 to 507 of the family's 1533-position model. The record is from RNAcentral.